UACGUAGGGGGCAAGCGUUGUCCGGCUUUAUUGGGCGGAAAGAGCGUGUAGGCGGUCAGGUAGGUCCGUUGUGAAAACUCGAGGCUCAACCUCGAGACGCCGAUGGAAACCAUCUGACUAGAGUCCGGAAGAGGAGAGUGGAAUUCCUGGUGUAGCGGUGAAAUGCGCAGAUAUCAGGAAGAACACCCGUGGCUAAGGCGGCUCUCUAGUACGGUACUGACGCUGAGACGCGAAAGCGUGGGGAGCGAACAGG
RNAcentral lists this ribosomal RNA (253 nucleotides) under uncultured bacterium. Its description in RNAcentral is "partial 16S ribosomal RNA". It matches the Rfam family "Bacterial small subunit ribosomal RNA", at positions 524 to 776 of the family's 1533-position model. The record is from RNAcentral.